ACAGACUGAAUAUGCUUGCAUAGGCUGACUGGUAGCUAAAAGCAAGACAUUGAGUAGGUAGGGAUGGCCGUUAGUACUGAUUUUACCAUUGUCAUCUUUCCUGCUUUUGAUAGGUGAUGAGUGGACCAUUUUGCAGUUCUCUUCUUGAUCUUAUCUACCGUUGAGGCCAGUUCAUACUCAAGGAGGAUGUCUUUUAGUGCUUGGCAAGAUUCUGGAGUAGCAUAGCAGAAGAACAUCGUGUCAUCUGCAAACAACAAAUGGUUUAUCCAUGGAGAACCUCUAAAUACUCUCACACCCGAGAAAGUCCCCUGCGCUCCACCGCCUUACAUAAACAUGUAAGUACUUCUCCACAUAAGAUGAACAAAUAGGGCGACAUCAGAUCCCCUUGUCUGAUCCUUCUCUGAGGAGUAAUAGAACCAUACACAGCUUCAUUGAUUAAGUAGGAGUAAGUUACAGUUGUAAUGCAUUGAAUAGUCAGAUUGAUCCAUUUCUCGUGGAACCCCAGUCUCUGAAGUACUUGUAUGAUAAAAUCCCACUUCAAACGGUCAUAAGCCUUGCUCAUGUCAGUUUUCACUGCCAUGAGGCACUUUUUCUCUGCUUGUGAUGUCGUUAGGUAGUGGAGUACUUCGUGUGUAAUGAGUACGUUUUCUGAAAUAGCCCUCCCAAGAAUGAAAGACGAUUGGGUCUCUGAGAUUAUUUAGGUUAGGACAGGCUUUAUGCACAUAGCUAGCAACUUUGAUAUGAUCUUGUACAAAACAUUGCAUAAAGCUAUUCGUCAAUAGUCUAAAACUUGUUUAGCUCAUGUAAACUUGGGAAUAAGUCUCACAUGUAUCUUAUUCAAAGAAGUAGGCAUAGAUCCCGAUGAAAAGGAUUGUUGGAUCUCUAGGACAAUAGCUGGUCCAACUGUUUCCAAAUUAGAUUGAAAGAAAGUUGCAGAGAUGCCAUCUGGUCCGGGUGCCUUGUCUGCAUGAAUAGCUAGGAGAGCUUUAAUUUCCGUAGGAGAUGGGCCUCUGAUAAAUAACUCGUUCAUCCCCCUUGAUCCGCAGGGUUCCAAGGCGUUGAAAACAGUUUGUGAACCCGCAAAGGAGGCAGAAGUGAAGAGCUUCGUAUAGUAUUGGGAGAUGAUUCUUGCAAUAUGUUCCUCUUCGAAAUCAGGUACCUGUGCUUCAUCUUCCAAAACUGUCAAUUUGUUUUUUGUUCGACGUCCUCUUGUAACUGCAUGGAAGUAUCCAGUGUUGGAGUCUCUCUGGGUCAGCCAGAUGAGUUGCCUACUCCUCUACCUCCAAAACUCCUCCGAUCCUCUGCUUUAUAAGCCACUAGCAGCUGUGUUUCUGGACUGCACUUUGAGAUAGCCUUCCGACAUAGAGCUAACCGAGAUUCCACUGUUAGGUGUGAGAAGUUGGACCAGAUAUCAGAUAUUAGCUUUUUGACUUCAUCAUUGUCCUUUAGGCGUCUGUCAUAUCUGAAAAUCCGAUUGCCUUUUUUCCUUGUAGGGUCCAUAAACGACAGCAAGGGGCGGUGAUCUGAUCCUUCAUAGCGCAAGUAUUGGCUCCUGCAGGAGGGAUAGAGCUCUGUUCAUUCCGUGUUGCUGAUGUCCCUUUCCAAACGAUAGUGUACGAGGUGGGUGCGUCUAAUUCCCAUCCACGCGGGGAAGUUUCCCAAUUGCUUUAGAUCAAACAGUUCGUUCUGAGAGAGGAAAGUUCUGAAGGAACAUAAAGUACCCUCCGCUCUAUCAGGCCCCCCUUGUUUUUCAUUAUUGUUGAUUAUUUUAUUAAAUUCACCAGUUAGGAACCAAGCUUCUCGUGAUUGAGGUUGGAGAUUUGUAAUCUCUGACCAAACUGCUUGCCUCUUCCUGUGGUCAUGUUCCCCAUAUACAAAGGUGGCAUGGAAGGAAACGCCUUUGUAAGUUAUUCUAGCGUCGAUGAAGUUGUUUGUAGAAGAUAGUAUGAACAGAUCGAUCUCCUUCCUCCAAGCUAGGUAAAUUCCUCCUCCUCCCGGACUAUGAGGUGGAACUAAGGAGCCGGGGGUGCAGGAUUGUAAAAAUCCUUCUUCGUUUUUGAGAUAGCUGGAAUCAAUUGUGUUCUUGGUUCUACUGACGCUCUUGAGGGUCCUGUUGUGUUGCAGGAAACCCUUCUAGAAGUAUUCCCAAGUGUAGUUUAUCUGGCCAAGGCCCCUUGGUGUCUCACUGGUGAUUGAUGAGCAGAGGAGAUGUUUCUCUUCCUGGAGUUAGCUCCUCUGAGCACUUUAGAACUCGCUCUAGCUAGUCUGAACUUCGCAGGUACAUGUUUAGUUUUCUCUGAUCUACCAAGUUUGAAACGGAGUUAGUCUGCGUGGUUUGAGCUAAUUGACUGUGUUCUCCAUCUUCCUCUGGGGGUAGUUGCACAAGUGGCAGUAUAGGUGCCUCUGUUCUUAUUUCAACACUGCCUUGUCUGGGUGUAAGGUUUUCAAUUGGGGAUCUUGAGAAAGGUGAGUAGCUCGUUCCUUGCACAAUUAUCAAGUCUUAUCUUUCAUCCCCCUCUUCUACUUGAUAACCUUAACUGGGGGGAUUUUGCACAGGUUGUAAAGCCCGAAUGGUGGAAUCCGCAGGGGGACUCUGGUAGUUACUUGAGCUUGGUCCUUGCUCUGGGAUCUCACGAGCUGCCUCUGUUGCAGCCACAAUGAUACUAGCAGCAAUUUCCUCCAAUAAACCUAAGGCAUCUCCUCUCAGGACUCUUUGCUUCCUUGCUUCUGCCUCCGUCGGAUCCACACAACUCAGAUACUGCAGCGUCACGUGGUUAAGAUCUUCCAUCACCUCAUUUGUUUGAAUUUGCUUAAGAAUUGGUUGAGACUGACGGUGAGUUACGUCUUCUUAUAGUCUUCCUUUGCAGGUGUAGUAUGGAGAGGCAUCCCCGUGUCAGGUCUUCUCGGAAUUACUUCUGGUUGUUUGACAUGCCAUUGAUUCAUCUCUCUAUGGGGGAGAAGAGGCCUGUUCCUUAAAUCUCUUCUUUCCACUUCUUCCCGAUGUCUAGUGAAAGGAGGAGAGGAGUAUUGUGUUGGUUCCUCUCGCCCAGUUCUUAUUGUCCAGUCGGUUCUUGUUUAGUUUUCAGUGAGUCGUCUGCUCCAUUCCGGCGGUGGAGGGUUCCUAGUCUGUUUGGUGCUGACUCUGCUUCCAAAGGCAUUUCCAUAUCUGUCUCUUCUGCUUUGGAAGUUCGUUUGUGGGAGGUUGCUCUCUCUUUCGGAGUUCUCUUUUCAACUUCUCCCCUUGUCUUACCAGUGCUGUAGAAGGUGACUGCUCUCUGGACGAAAGUAGAUUAUGCCUUGGGACUACACUAUCCAUGACAUCAGUGUUUUGAGUUCUCUUCAGUUUUGUUUCCGCAUGAUAUACAGGGCAGUAAGCAACCGGGUGGCAUAGUGAGAAGCAUAAGAAGCAGUGGUUUUCCUAAUUUUUGUACUCCAGGGUAAUGAUGUUUUCUUCUCCUGAUUCAUACUCCAUGAUAUAUUGCUUGACCAAGGGUUUUAGACCAUCAAUCAGUACUCUCAUCCUUGUUGUUUUCUUUGUGAGUUCGUGGUGCUCCAGGUCACCUAACUCAAAGCCCACAUUCCGAACCAUUUUUUCAUGCCAGUAGUGUAGUGGAAUAGCUUUGAUCACAGAAAUCAUAGAUAAAUAGAUGAAAUUGCAAUAAAAUAAAAUAUAAAAAACUAAAGGAGUUCCAGGAGGACUCUGAAGGAGUUCCUCCUUUCUCUCAUAACCUAGAACUAUGAAUUAAAGAAAGCGUGUAACCGUCAACAACGGCUUAGAAAUACAUAAAUAGGGUUUCUGAUCGUCCAUGGAUAUUUUGGUAACUUUGUGUGGCUUCUGGGCUUCAGUAGGUCUUGAAAUAUGCUUGUCCUACGUUCUGACAUCACCGUCGAUCAAUGGCAAGGGUGCACCAUCGAUCGACAGUCCUUCAUCUCCUCGAAAGCUUCCUCUCGCAAGGUAGACUGACCACUCAUUAGUAAAACGGGCAUAACGUCUGCUAUAAGAUGCUGAUUGACCUCAAACCGGUAGCAUUGGAAAGCUAACUCAAACCUAUAUAUUAUAUCUAAAGAUGGGCUCAAUAUAACAGUAGGAAGGUCUCCAUACAUAGCUAAACUUUUGACGCGUCUGUGAAGCUCUUCACUCAAAA
Brassica napus (rape) is the source of this 4145-nucleotide long non-coding RNA. RefSeq lists it as uncharacterized. The record is from RefSeq and is a predicted model, not a curated record. NCBI's taxonomy places the organism in Eukaryota, Viridiplantae, Streptophyta, Magnoliopsida, Brassicales, Brassicaceae. The transcript has 3 exons.